AACGAACGCUGGCGGCAUGCCUAACACAUGCAAGUCGAACGAGACCUUCGGGUCUAGUGGCGCACGGGUGCGUAACGCGUGGGAAUCUGCCCUCUGGUACGGAAUAACUCAGGGAAACUUGAGCUAAUACCGUAUAAUGACUUCGGUCCAAAGAUUUAUCGCCUGAGGAUGAGCCCGCGUCGGAUUAGCUAGUUGGUGAGGUAAGGGCUCACCAAGGCGACGAUCCGUAGCUGGUCUGAGAGGAUGAUCAGCCACACUGGGACUGAGACACGGCCCAGACUCCUACGGGAGGCAGCAGUGGGGAAUAUUGGACAAUGGGCGAAAGCCUGAUCCAGCAAUGCCGCGUGAGUGAUGAAGGCCUUAGGGUUGUAAAGCUCUUUUACCCGGGAUGAUAAUGACAGUACCGGGAGAAUAAGCCCCGGCUAACUCCGUGCCAGCCGCCGCCGUAA
This 449-nucleotide ribosomal RNA is filed under the name uncultured bacterium. Its description in RNAcentral is "partial 16S ribosomal RNA". It matches the Rfam family "Bacterial small subunit ribosomal RNA", at positions 29 to 523 of the family's 1533-position model. The record is from RNAcentral.